RNAcentral lists this ribosomal RNA (483 nucleotides) under uncultured bacterium. RNAcentral's name for it is "partial 16S ribosomal RNA". It matches the Rfam family "Bacterial small subunit ribosomal RNA", at positions 30 to 507 of the family's 1533-position model. The record is from RNAcentral.
AUUGAACGCUGGCGGCAGGCCUAACACAUGCAAGUCGAGCGGAUGAAGGGAGCUUGCUCCUGGAUUCAGCGGCGGACGGGUGAGUAAUGCCUAGGAAUCUGCCUGGUAGUGGGGGAUAACGUCCGGAAACGGGCGCUAAUACCGCAUACGUCCUGAGGGAGAAAGUGGGGGAUCUUCGGACCUCACGCUAUCAGAUGAGCCUAGGUCGGAUUAGCUAGUUGGUGGGGUAAAGGCCUACCAAGGCGACGAUCCGUAAAUGGUCUGAGAGGAUGAUCAGUCACACUGGAACUGAGACACGGCCAGACUCCUACGGGAGGCAGCAGUGGGGAAUAUUGGACAAUGGGCGAAAGCCUGAUCCAGCCAUGCCGCGUGUGUGAAGAAGGUCUUCGGAUUGUAAAGCACUUUAAGUUGGGAGGAAGGGCAGUAAGUUAAUACCUUGCUGUUUUGACGUUACCAACAGAAUAAGCACCGGCUAACUUCGUG